This 77-nucleotide transfer RNA is filed under the name Pedosphaera sp. RNAcentral's name for it is "tRNA-Asp". It matches the Rfam family "tRNA". Rfam says of the family: Transfer RNA (tRNA) molecules are approximately 80 nucleotides in length. Their secondary structure includes four short double-helical elements and three loops (D, anti-codon, and T loops). Further hydrogen bonds mediate the characteristic L-shaped molecular structure. tRNAs have two regions of fundamental functional importance: the anti-codon, which is responsible for specific mRNA codon recognition, and the 3' end, to which the tRNAs corresponding amino acid is attached (by aminoacyl-tRNA synthetases). tRNAs cope with the degeneracy of the genetic code in two manners: having more than one tRNA (with a specific anti-codon) for a particular amino acid; and 'wobble' base-pairing, i.e. permitting non-standard base-pairing at the 3rd anti-codon position. The record is from RNAcentral. Lineage: Bacteria; Pseudomonadati; Verrucomicrobiota; Pedosphaerae; Pedosphaerales; Pedosphaeraceae.
GGGGGUGUAGCUCAAUCGGUUAGAGCGCCUGCCUGUCACGCAGGAGGCUGCGGGUUCAAGUCCCGUCACUCCCGCCA